GACGAACCGUACGAACGUUAUUCGGAAUCACUGGGCUUAAAGGGUGCGUAGGCGGCGCGACAAGUUGGGUGUGAAAUCCCUCGGCUCAACCGAGGAACUGCGCCCAAAACUGUCGUGCUCGAGGGAGACAGAGGUGAGCGGAACUUAGGGUGGAGCGGUGAAAUGCGUUGAUAUCCUAAGGAACACCGGUGGCGAAAGCGGCUCACUGGGUCUCUUCUGACGCUGAGGCACGAAAGCGCGGGGAGCGAACAGG
Molecule: ribosomal RNA, 253 nt
Filed under: uncultured bacterium
Lineage: Bacteria
Description: partial 16S ribosomal RNA
Rfam family: Bacterial small subunit ribosomal RNA
Source: RNAcentral